This 85-nucleotide ribosomal RNA is filed under the name Octodon degus (degu). The record is from RNAcentral. Lineage: Eukaryota; Metazoa; Chordata; Mammalia; Rodentia; Octodontidae.
GUCUACGGCCAUAUCACCCUAAAUGAGCCUAAUUUCAUCUGAUCUCAGAAGGUAAACAAGGUCAGGCCUGGUUAGUACGUGGAUG